GAUGAACGCUAGCGACAGGCUUAACACAUGCAAGUCGAGGGGCAGCACGGGAGUAGCAAUACAACUGGUGGCGACCGGCGCACGGGUGAGUAACGCGUAUGCAACCUACCUAUCAGAGGGGAAUAACCCGGCGAAAGUCGGACUAAUACCGCAUAAAACAGGGGCACCGCAUGGUGAUAUUUGUUAAAGAAAUUCGCUGAUAGAUGGGCAUGCGUUCCAUUAGGUAGUUGGUGAGGUAACGGCUCACCAAGCCGACGAUGGAUAGGGGAACUGAGAGGUUGGUCCCCCACACUGGUACUGAGACACGGACCAGACUCCUACGGGAGGCAGCAGUGAGGAAUAUUGGUCAAUGGGCGAGAGCCUGAACCAGCCAAGUCGCGUGAAGGAAGAAGGAUCUAUGGUUCGUAAACUUCUUUUGCAGGGGAAUAAAGUGCAGGACGUGUCCUGUUUUGUAUGUACCCUGAGAAUAAGGAUCGGCUAACUCCGUGCCAGCA
RNAcentral lists this ribosomal RNA (494 nucleotides) under uncultured bacterium. RNAcentral describes it as "bacterial SSU rRNA". It matches the Rfam family "Bacterial small subunit ribosomal RNA", at positions 28 to 513 of the family's 1533-position model. The record is from RNAcentral.